RNAcentral lists this transfer RNA (84 nucleotides) under Rhipicephalus microplus (southern cattle tick). Its description in RNAcentral is "tRNA-Leu". It matches the Rfam family "tRNA". Rfam says of the family: Transfer RNA (tRNA) molecules are approximately 80 nucleotides in length. Their secondary structure includes four short double-helical elements and three loops (D, anti-codon, and T loops). Lineage: Eukaryota; Metazoa; Arthropoda; Arachnida; Ixodida; Ixodidae. The record is from RNAcentral.
GUCAGAAUGGCCGAGUGGUCUAAGGUGCCAGACUCAAAUUCUGGCCCACGUGCGUGGGCGUGGGUUUGAACCCCACUUCUGACA